GACGUAGGAUGCAAGCGUUGUCCGGAUUUAUUGGGCGUAAAGAGCUCGUAGGCGGUUUGUCGCGUCUGCCGUGAAAGUCCGGGGCUCAACUCCGGAUCUGCGGUGGGUACGGGCAGACUAGAGUGAUGUAGGGGAGACUGGAAUUCCUGGUGUAGCGGUGAAAUGCGCAGAUAUCAGGAGGAACACCGGUGGCGAAGGCGGCGAGCUGGUCCGUAUCUGACGCUGAGGCGCGACAGCGUGGGGAGCAAACAGG
RNAcentral lists this ribosomal RNA (253 nucleotides) under uncultured bacterium. Its description in RNAcentral is "partial 16S ribosomal RNA". It matches the Rfam family "Bacterial small subunit ribosomal RNA", at positions 524 to 776 of the family's 1533-position model. The record is from RNAcentral.